This 73-nucleotide transfer RNA is filed under the name Bradyrhizobium sp. 41S5. Its description in RNAcentral is "tRNA-Ala". Lineage: Bacteria; Pseudomonadati; Pseudomonadota; Alphaproteobacteria; Hyphomicrobiales; Nitrobacteraceae. The record is from RNAcentral.
GGGGCACGCGCUGGGUCCGCGGGCAUGCUUUGCAAGCAAGCUGAGCUCGGUUCGAUUCCGAGGUGCUCCACCA